Molecule: non-coding RNA, 26 nt
Filed under: Rattus norvegicus (Norway rat)
Lineage: Eukaryota; Metazoa; Chordata; Mammalia; Rodentia; Muridae
Source: RNAcentral
UGCAAUUGCAAACGGUGGCCUGUGGU